GCCAGACUCCUACGGGAGGCAGCAGUGGGGGAUAUUGCACAAUGGGGGGAACCCUGAUGCAGCGACGCCGCGUGAAGGAAGAAGUAUCUCGGUAUGUAAACUUCUAUCAGCAGGGAAGAAAAUGACGGUACCUGACUAAGAAGCCCCGGCUAACUACGUGCCAGCAGCCGCGGUAAUACGUAGGGGGCAAGCGUUAUCCGGAUUUACUGGGCGUAAAGGGAGCGUAGACGGCGGUGCAAGCCAGAUGUGAAAGCCCGGGGCUCAACCCCGGGACUGCAUUUGGAACUGUGCUGCUAGAGUGUCGGAGAGGCAGGCGGAAUUCCUAGUGUAGCGGUGAAAUGCGUAGAUAUUAGGAGGAACACCAGUGGCGAAGGCGGCCUGCUGGACGAUGACUGACGUUGAGGCUCGAAAGCGUGGGGAGCAAACAGGAUUAGAUACCCUGGUA
This 445-nucleotide ribosomal RNA is filed under the name uncultured bacterium. RNAcentral describes it as "partial 16S ribosomal RNA". It matches the Rfam family "Bacterial small subunit ribosomal RNA", at positions 330 to 792 of the family's 1533-position model. The record is from RNAcentral.